Molecule: small nuclear RNA, 160 nt
Organism: Castor canadensis (American beaver)
Lineage: Eukaryota; Metazoa; Chordata; Mammalia; Rodentia; Castoridae
Gene: U1
Rfam family: U1 spliceosomal RNA
About the family: U1 is a small nuclear RNA (snRNA) component of the spliceosome (involved in pre-mRNA splicing).
Source: Ensembl
GCACUUAACUGGCAGGGGAGAUACCAUGAUCACGAAUGUGAUCCAGGUCGAGGCUUAUCCAUUGCACUCUGGAUGUGCUGACCCUUGCGAUUUCCUCAAAUGUGGGAAACUUGACUGCAUAAUUUGUGGUAGUGGGGGACUGUGUUUGUGCUCUCCCCUU